RNAcentral lists this ribosomal RNA (808 nucleotides) under uncultured archaeon. Its description in RNAcentral is "bacterial SSU rRNA". It matches the Rfam family "Archaeal small subunit ribosomal RNA", at positions 33 to 843 of the family's 1478-position model. The record is from RNAcentral.
UCAGUGUUCGACUAAGCCAUGCGAGUCAAAUGUUCUUCGUGAACAUGGCGUACUGCUCAGUAACACGUGGAUAAUCUGCCCUAAGGUCUGGCAUAACACCGGGAAACUGAUGAUAAUUCCAGAUGGACCAUGGAUACUGGAAUGUUCUGUGGUCAAAAGCUCCGGCGCCUUAGGAUGAAUCUGCGGCCUAUCAGGUUGUAGUGGGUGUAACGUACCUACUAGCCGACGACGGGUACGGGUUGUGAGAGCAAGAGCCCGGAGAUGGAUUCUGAGACAUGAAUCCAGGCCCUACGGGGCGCAGCAGGCGCGAAAACUUUAUAAUGCGGGAAACCGCGAUAAGGGGACACUGAGUGCCAGCAUCUUAUGUUGGCUGUCCACAUGUAUAAAUAGCAUGUGUUAGCAAGGGCCGGGCAAGACCGGUGCCAGCCGCCGCGGUAACACCGGCGGCCCGAGUGGUGGCCACUAUUAUUGGGUCUAAAGGGUCCGUAGCCGGUUUGAUCAGUCUUCCGGGAAAUCUGACAGCUUAACUGUUAGGCUUCCGGGGGAUACUGUCAGGCUUGGGACCGGGAGAGGUAAGAGGUACUACAGGGGUAGGAGUGAAAUCUUGUAAUCCCUGUGGGACCACCAGUGGCGAAGGCGUCUUACCAGAACGGGUCCGACGGUGAGGGACGAAAGCUGGGGGCACGAACCGGAUUAGAUACCCGGGUAGUCCCAGCCGUAAACGAUGCUCGCUAGGUGUCCGGGAUGGUGCGACCGUUUCAGGUGCCGCAGGGAAGCCGUGAAGCGAGCCACCUGGGAAGUACGGCCG